AUUGAACGCUGGCGGCAGGCCUAACACAUGCAAGUCGAGCGGAUGAAGGGAGCUUGCUCCUGGAUUCAGCGGCGGACGGGUGAGUAAUGCCUAGGAAUCUGCCUGGUAGUGGGGGAUAACGUCCGGAAACGGGCGCUAAUACCGCAUACGUCCUGAGGGAGAAAGUGGGGGAUCUUCGGACCUCACGCUAUCAGAUGAGCCUAGGUCGGAUUAGCUAGUUGGUGGGGUAAAGGCCUACCAAGGCGACGAUCCGUAACUGGUCUGAGAGGAUGAUCAGUCACACUGGAACUGAGACACGGUCCAGACUCCUACGGGAGGCACCAGUGGGGAAUAUUGGACAAUGGGCGAAAGCCUGAUCCAGCCAUGCCGCGUGUGUGAAGAAGGUCUUCGGAUUGUAAAGCACUUUAAGUUGGGAGGAAGGGCAGUAAGUUAAUACCUCGCUGUUUUGACGUUACCAACAGAAUAAGCACCGGCUAACUUCGUG
This 484-nucleotide ribosomal RNA is filed under the name uncultured bacterium. RNAcentral describes it as "partial 16S ribosomal RNA". It matches the Rfam family "Bacterial small subunit ribosomal RNA", at positions 30 to 507 of the family's 1533-position model. The record is from RNAcentral.